CAUUACACUUUAAAGACUUGAUUUCGACUUAAGUUAAGAUCUAUUAA
RNAcentral lists this transfer RNA (47 nucleotides) under Parachtes riberai. RNAcentral's name for it is "tRNA-Arg". Lineage: Eukaryota; Metazoa; Arthropoda; Arachnida; Araneae; Dysderidae. The record is from RNAcentral.